CGUCUCAGUUCGGAUUGUAGUCUGCAACUCGACUACAUGAAGCUGGAAUCGCUAGUAAUCGCGAAUCAGAAUGUCGCGGUGAAUACGUUCCCGGGCCUUGUACACACCGCCCGUCACACCAUGGGAGCCGGUAAUACCCGAAGUCAGUAGUCCAACCUCGUGAGGACGCUGCCGAAGGUAGGAUUGGCGACUGGGGUGAAGUCGUAACAAGGUACC
This 216-nucleotide ribosomal RNA is filed under the name uncultured bacterium. Its description in RNAcentral is "partial 16S ribosomal RNA". It matches the Rfam family "Bacterial small subunit ribosomal RNA", at positions 1284 to 1500 of the family's 1533-position model. The record is from RNAcentral.